GCUGAAGAACGCAGCGAAAUGCGAUAAGUAAUGUGAAUUGCAGAAUUCAGUGAAUCAUCGAAUCUUUGAACGCACAUUGCGCCCCCUGGUAUUCCGGGGGGCAUGCCUGUCCGAGCGUCAUUACAACCCUCAAGCUCAGCUUGGUAUUGGGCCCCGCCGACCCGGCGGGCCCUAAAGUCAGUGGCGGUGCCGUCCGGCUCCGAGCGUAGUAAUUCUUCUCGCUCUGGAGGUCCGGUCGUGUGCUCGCCAGCAACCCCCAAUUUUUUUCAGGUUGACCUCGGAUCAGGUAGGGAUACCCGCUGAACUUAAGCAUAUCAAUAAGCGGAGGA
This 329-nucleotide unclassified non-coding RNA is filed under the name soil metagenome. RNAcentral describes it as "partial contains 5.8S ribosomal RNA, internal transcribed spacer 2, and large subunit ribosomal RNA". The stretch from base 3 to 120 matches the Rfam family "5.8S ribosomal RNA", at positions 37 to 154 of the family's 154-position model. The record is from RNAcentral.